GCCCCGGUGGCGGAACAGGCAGACGCGCACGGUUGAGGGCUGUGUCCUUUCGGGGGUGGAGGUUCAAAUCCUCUCCGGGGCA
Molecule: transfer RNA, 82 nt
Filed under: Anaerolineaceae bacterium
Lineage: Bacteria; Bacillati; Chloroflexota; Anaerolineae; Anaerolineales; Anaerolineaceae
Also listed under: 2 other names
Description: tRNA-Leu
Rfam family: tRNA
About the family: Transfer RNA (tRNA) molecules are approximately 80 nucleotides in length. Their secondary structure includes four short double-helical elements and three loops (D, anti-codon, and T loops).
Source: RNAcentral